AGGGUUUGAUCAUGGCUCAGAUUGAACGCUGGCGGCAGGCUUAACACAUGCAAGUCGAGCGGUAACAGAUCUAGCUUGCUAGAUGCUGACGAGCGGCGGACGGGUGAGUAACGCGUAGGAACCUGCCCAGUAGUGGGGGAUAGCCCGGUGAAAACCGGAUUAAUACCGCAUACACUCUACGGAGGAAAGGGGGCUUCGGCUCUCGCUAUUGGAUGGGCCUGCGUGAGAUUAGCUAGUUGGUGAGGUAAUGGCUCACCAAGGCGACGAUCUCUAGCUGGUCUGAGAGGAUGAUCAGCCACACUGGGACUGAGACACGGCCCAGACUCCUACGGGAGGCAGCAGUGGGGAAUAUUGCACAAUGGGCGCAAGCCUGAUGCAGCCAUGCCGCGUGUGUGAAGAAGGCUUUCGGGUUGUAAAGCACUUUCAGUUGUGAGGAAAAGUUAGUCGUUAAUACCGGCUAGCCUUGACGUUAGCAACAGAAGAAGCACUGGCUAACUCAGUGCCAGCAGCCGCGGUAAUACUGAGGGUGCAAGCGUUAAUCGGAAUUACUGGGCGUAAAGCGCGCGUAGGCGGCUUGUUAAGCCAGAUGUGAAAGCCCCGGGCUCAACCUGGGAACUGCAUUUGGAACUGGCUAGCUAGAGUACAGUAGAGGGUGGUGGAAUUUCCAGUGUAGCGGUGAAAUGCG
This 685-nucleotide ribosomal RNA is filed under the name uncultured bacterium. RNAcentral's name for it is "bacterial SSU rRNA". It matches the Rfam family "Bacterial small subunit ribosomal RNA", at positions 8 to 690 of the family's 1533-position model. The record is from RNAcentral.